UGAUCCACCUGCUUCAGCCUCUCAAAGUGCUAGGAUUACAGCAUGACUGAGAACUGCCAGCCAGCUUCCCAUCCUUUCCAGAGGCUACAAGUCAACCCAGGCCAGCGCAGCCUUAAGAGUGCGGGGUGGAAGGACAAGAGGGGUGCUCUCACAAAAGGUGAUUCCGUGGUCCACUCCUGAGCUGCUGAUCUCAGAGAAGGCACCAAUAACUUCCUUUACUUGCAGCAAGAAUACUGCUCAGAACCACAACGAUGCUAUAAAUCUACCACAGCUAAAAUCUAUGCUAUUUCUAACAGAAAGCACAGCAGGUUGGUGGGGAAGAGGUUGAAUGUUUCACUUCUUCAGCCUGCCUAGGAGGGCAAGUGGAACAAAUCUUGGGUUUGGAACAUCUAUUAAAAGAUAUUCUUACUUUGUAGCAUUCAUAUUCUUACCUUCCUUUAGGUUUCUUGAAGAAGUUAUGUCAUUUUCUUUAUGUAGAAGUCAAAUAUUUGUACAUUUAAAAUACAUUUGGUCACAAUUAAUAUUGAAAUCAGCAUCUCCAAGUGUUUAAAAGAGUUUAACAGCUGUACGGUCAUCUGAACCCAGAGAUUUUUAAAAAAAAUUAUUUGACACCUUAUCCAAUUUAAUUUUUGGUUACUUACCUUGUCACAUGUUUUAGUUUUUCUUGUGAUAACUUUUAAAACUUAAAUUUUAAGUACAUUAAUAUGAAAGGGUAGUCGGACAGCUUUUUGAUCUUUUCUGUAUAUGUUCUUACAUCUUUUUCUCUCAAUUGUGUUUAUGUUUUCUCCUACUUCGUGUAGAGGAACUUCAUUAUUGAACAUCCAAUACUUUAUUUAAUGUCUCAUUUAGAGUCUACAUUUAUAUUUUCCAUAAAUAGGAAUGUUUGUGUUUUGCAGCUUUGGCAUUUGUAAAGAUUUCUGUAUUUAGUUUCUUUUCUCCCUCCAGAUUGUGACUUUGUAGAAGUGGGAGCCACUCUGGCUUGCUCACUGUGAUACUAGAAUGCACAGGACAGUGCCCGGCAUCUAACUCCCCAGAACAGGGCCAGGACUCAGCCCAUAGGCCUGUUUACACACAUGGUUUGAGCUUGCAGAUUUAAAAUAAGCAAGGAGGCCAUAAUCAGUGGACUUAAACUGAUUAAAACAAGAAAAAUUUAAAAACAGACAAUACAGAAGCAAGAAUGAAAUGAAAUUUAUCUACAAUUAAUAUGACUAAUAUAUUAGUGAACAAAAGACUGUAAGUUUUUAAAGAAAUAAUGUACUAAUCAUGAAAAUAGUGAAUUAGAAAAUAGUAGAAAAAAGUAGAAUUAAUUUAUAAUGCUAACAUAUUAUUCUGAGAAGCAACAACAACAACAAAACCCUUUAAGAGUGAUGGAUGUAAUGAUAUAAUGGUGCUGACUAGUCUUUGCUGAUUAUGUUCUUUUCCUGUCCUGCCUACACCUACACCCUUUGGAAUUGGUUGUGAGUUGCUCGGGGCUGUGUAGGAGGGGCUAGAAUUGGAAAAAGUUUGUGCAGUGAUCUGCUGUAGAAAGGUAUUUCUUAUGACUUUGUUAAGUUUAGGUAAAAAAAUUGAGGCAGACUUGAAAUACUGUCAUGCCAAAGAAUCUCGUGGCUGUACAAGGACAAUGUUUCCUAAAGUACUAUAGGUUAGAGCAAGGGUUUGCCUUUUACAAAUGCUAUUUUAGGACUCCGAAGCCAUGACUCCUGUAAAGGAUCACCCUUCUCUAGUCUUCAUCACAGCCAUUCUAAGGCUCAUUAAAUUAAAAUACAAUAACUACAUCUGUUGCUUAUGAUCAGGCCCCCUUGCUCAUUCAAUAUCUGCAUCUCAUUAGCUAAAACCUAAGGUAGGCUUCCUUACACUCAAUUAUUUAACAAAUACACGUUAUAUACAUUAUCAGCUGUGGAUAUUUACAUUUUGUGUUGUUUCUCCUAAAUAUGUAUCUAUUUGCUUGAGUGGUUUUUCUUUCUUCAUUAGAUCAGAGCAAGCCAAGGGCUGUGACCUUAGAGGUUACUUAUUUUCUAAUAUCCUUACAGAACUUUUAAGCAGUACAUGUAAAUGUAAUUGAAAAACUAAAAUAAUACAAUAAUUUAUAAAACAUAAAACUACAUAAAACUAAAAUCAAAAUCCUGUUUAUCACCAGCUCAAAUAUGGCUUAUAAAAAUGAGGUUACAGUGUUAUGUUGUUUUCACCUGACAAUGUUUUUUGGACCUCCUUUUUAUUUCAUCAUUAUUAUUUGAAUAGGCACUGGAAAAACAUGAUAAAAAUUUAGAAGGUAUAGAAUUACAUCACUUUAAAAGUAAGCCACCUGGUUCUUUUAUUCCGAGACAAUCAUUGUGAUUUGUUUCUUGGGUAAUGAAUAUGCAUAUAUAAGUUUAUGUAUUCCUUUUGUUCCUUACACAUUUUAGCAUACUAUACACAUAGCGUAUUACUGUUUUCACUUAUUGAUAUCUUUUGGAAUUGAAAAUGUGAGGGAGUUUUACUCUUCUAGACAAAUGUGGUAGACUUCAAAAAGAAGCUCACCUUGGAGAACUUAAAACUGAGUGAUUGCUUAAAGCUUUCAUAUUAGACUGGUCUGGAAGUUUGUAGCACCUGGAGAAUAAAUCUGUAUAUGAAUACUUGAGAGUGACUAGAAAAUCUCUGAGAGUUGUCUGAGAUUUUUAUCUAAGUUCUAGCUGACAGGAUGUAUUUGAAGGGUCGUUGGUGCAAAAGAACAACCUGAUUUCUACUCGUACCAUACAAUAGCCAGCUAAAGAGAUAGUUUCAUUUGUCAAUAAAUUCUUUGUUAUGGA
This is a non-coding RNA of Macaca mulatta (Rhesus monkey), 2786 nucleotides long. Lineage: Eukaryota; Metazoa; Chordata; Mammalia; Primates; Cercopithecidae. The record is from RefSeq and is a predicted model, not a curated record.